Mirounga angustirostris (Northern elephant seal) is the source of this 4737-nucleotide long non-coding RNA. RefSeq lists it as uncharacterized. The record is from RefSeq and is a predicted model, not a curated record. The transcript has 2 exons. Lineage: Eukaryota; Metazoa; Chordata; Mammalia; Carnivora; Phocidae.
UGAGAGACAGAGAGCACGAGAGGGAAGAGGGCAGAGGGGGAAGCAGACCCCCUGCCGAGCAGGGAGCCUGAUGCGGGACUCGAUCCCGGACUCCAGGAUCAUGACCUGAGCCGAAGGCAGUCGCUUAACCAACUGAGCCACCCAGGCGCCCCACCUUGAAAUUUUAUUAGAAAACAUUGUCAUAUGAUUUAAACUUGCUAUGUGUAUCAUGUUGGUCCUGUGAUGACUCAGAAUUCCUUAAAUGACUUUUUCCUCUCCCUUCAAACAAAAUCUUAGCAGUACCACUGCAGAAUACCAGUGUGAAAUAUCAUAAAGCAGGUUAUUCCAGCCAAGAAUCCGAGGUGAGGCCAGCUUUAAAUUGUUGAGGCACAUUAAAGUCAAAUCAGUGGUGAGAAUGCUGACAGCUCCUCCUCAGAAAAGAUGUCUCUGUGGCACAUUUAAAAAUCAUAUCCCCCAGUGAAGAUGAUUAAGAACUUGGACAUAUUCGUAUCUGUGGCCACAGAGGAGAAAAAGGGAUCAUUUUCAUCACAGGUCAGUGCUGAGCACACUGAACUCCUUUGAAUAGCUGUCCCUUUCUUAAUCCGUCCAAGGAUUCUUAAUUUAUUUUGCUUAUUAUCAGAAGCGUCUCCCCCCUUGAGGAAACAUAAAAUUUAUUAAGAGAAUUGUAACUUAAAAUAUUCAGAGCACUCCUGGCAUCUUUACUUAAAUGGAUGCAAGAAAUUUUACUGCAAGAAAGUAUAUAUUGAUCCCUGUAGCUGACUUGUCAUGUUUAGUAUUUUUCUCUUUGCACAAGAAGAAUAGCUUCUGUAAUGUGAAUUUAAAUGAUACGUCAAGCUAAUAAAUGUGGUUGGCCUAGCAAGUGAUAAGCAUAACUAACUCAAUUUAAAUGUCUUUUAUAUAAAAAUAAUGAACCAGUGCAUUAAAGAUUAAAAAUGUUAAUGCAAUUAGCAAAAAUUAGCAUUCAAUAAAGAAGUGUGUUUCAGUUUUGAGAUGGAUGAUACAUCAUUCAAUGACCAGAUAAGGACUAAAUUCAGGUACACUUUAUUCAGCUGGCGUGUAUGUUAAAAACCAAAUAAAUAAAAAUUAAAUGCUUUAUUUGCCCCUUUGCAACGACGUGGGUGGAACUAGAGGGUAUUAUGCUAAGCGAAAUAAGUCAGUCAGAGAAAGACAAUUAUCAUAUAUAAUCUCACUCGUAUGUGGAAUUUAAGAAACAAAACAGGGUCAUAGGGGAAGGGAGGAAAAAAUAAAACAAGACAAAACCAGAGAGGGAGACAAACCAUAAGAGACUCUUAAUCAUAGGGAACAAACUGAGGGUUGCUGGAGGGGAGGGGUUACAGGAAUGGGGUAACUGGGUGAUAGACAUUUAGGAGGGCACGUGAUGUAAUGAGCACUGGGUAUUAUAUAAGACUGAUGAAUCACUGACCUCUACCUAGACAUGAAACCAGUAAUACAUUAUAUGUUAAGUAAUUGAAUUUAAAUUAAAAAAAGUAAAUGCUUUAUUUGAAGAAACUUUGAUAAAACAGUAUGUGGCAUGUAGACAAAAGGACACGCAGGUCCUUGGGGACUGUGCCAGAAACCAGGGCAUGAGGUGACUUAAAACAUAUUGUCACCUGCCUCCUUGUGGGGGAGGUAGAGGGGAUGUAGCAGGUGUGACAGUGAACGUGGGACUGGAGGGGAAAUGAAUUUUCCUGGCUUCACUGCUAAAUAAAGUGAGCAUUUUUGGUUUGGGGACGCUGACUUUAAAACAGUGGAGUAUACAGUGGUGUCGCUAUUUGCCUUAAUGUCGCUGUGGCGUCUUGUCACUCUAUGCUCAUCUGCAGGUGGAUGGCAAGCAUUCCGAUGAGGCAGCCUUGAUCCUCCACAGGAAGGGGUUUGACUGCCACUUCUCGAGCAGAGACACGGGGCUGCUUUGUUCCACAACCCAGGGAAAGAUUUUGGUACAGAAGCUUUUUAGCAUGUUUACUGUCGCAAGUCUCAUACCUUCGUCAUUAUCCUUGAUGCAUUCACCUCCAGACGCCCGAAAUAUAAGUGAGAUCAACUUGAGUCCCAUGGAAAUCAGCACAUUCCGAAUCCAGUUGAGAUGAACCUGGCUUUCAAAUUUGGAUUGGGAAGCAUUGUCUUUUAUACACUUCUUGGUUUGACGUGCAAUAAGGAAGCACAUUAUUUUAGCUUCUGGCUACUGUGAGGACAUGAAUUCUGUGAUUGUUAUUAUAAUUAUUAUUAUUAUUAUUUUUUUUUUUACUAGUACAGAAAGAAAAAAAAAAAAAAAGCCAUGCUAUAGCCAGUUUUUCUUUAAGUUCCAUCCAUGAAUCACCACCAUCAGUAUGAAUCGAUGCAACAAUGAAGGAAGAAAUGUCUAAAACAACCUCUCCACAGAUUGUAUCUCAGGUUAAAUGCUAACUAACUAUAUCUGUGUCGGGAGUUGUGAAGAGAUUGUUAUAAGUAUUCAUGUUGCUGAUCCUUCAUUAGUUUUACAAAAAUACCCAUUUUUACCAAAAUGGAAUAAAAAGCUGAAGGGUAAUAGCUAAUGGCCAAAAUGGUUGCAAUCGUUCAUACGCAUUCGAAAAAUUUUGUGUAUUGAAAUAUGUGGAAAAGUGCAAUCCAUCAACCCUUAUGAUAUCUGUACAUCAUUGAUCUUCACACCUUUUUCUAAUGUACCACUUGACCCCUCCCUUCUCACUCUUUGUAUUUCCAGAAAUAGCAGAUUUUGAAUCAUUCAAUAGUAGAAAAAGAGGCAUAUUUUCAUUACUUGACAAUGUGGGAUAGGUGCAAUUUAUUCCAUUGUCACUAAGAUAGAAAAAGCAAUCCCAUAGGUACCAUAACCUCUUUUAGGUACCACAAGGUGUCUUUUUACACAGCUCAUGUGAAUACAGAUGUUCGGAGAGGGGUUUUCUAUUUUAAAAAUAACCAUAUCAAAAUAAAUGUGCCUUAUUUUUUUAUAAGUCUUGUUAAAUCUUUUGGUGUCCAUAUGACUGAGGAAGGGGGAGAGGGCGGGGGUGGGGAGGAGGUGGGUACUUUCUAUGACACGUAAAGUGUUAUCGGUUUUGCCUGACAAUGCUGGCCACAUUCUGAUCUGUUUCAUUAAAUUUGUGGUGAUGUUAUUCUAAACAUUUUGACUAUUUGAAUGUACUGAGAUGUCAGAAAACAAAACAAGGAAGAAAAAGUACUGUUCAUUAAAAUCCGCUGCUGCCAAGAAGAUGGCAGCUUGAAGCAAGGAUUUUGUGACAUGCAAAAUCCAUACACUGUUUCCGUUUCACAGGAGGUAACUCUAUGAAAGAAUGCUUUAAAAGGGACCCUGUUUUGAAAUCCACUUAUAGGUAGCUCAUCCUGAUUUCUUUUAUUAAAGAACAUGUGUGUUGAGUGAAUUCCAAACUUUUGUACGUGCUAACCUCAAAGUGAAGUUCCAAGCCUAUGUGCCAUUACAGUACUUUUGAUAAAAUUUAUUUGGGAUCAUGAUUAACAUGACAUUAACACUGAAGCAACAUUAGAAACAUUUAGAAUAUUCAGUUUUAGGAUAGAAAGGAUUCACUGAGUAUGUACACUUUUGAAAAUUCUCUUUGUGUUACCUAAUAAAUUUAUUAUUCUCUGACUUUAAACUUCCUUUUACCUCCUGCCAUUCCAGCAUCUUUAUAGAGAAGUUGAAACCUAAUUUCUGUUUCACCAGGUAGUCUGAUGAUCAUCCUUUUUUUUUUUUUUUUUUUUUUUUUACCAAGAUGCAGCUCCUACAAUUAUUGCUAAGUUAUGUUAAGUUCAUAAAUUUUUUUCGCCUUUAAUAAUUAAGGAAACAAUACUGGUGUUGAUGAAGAUAUUAUAAGGGAGUAAUGUCAUGCAAUAAACAUGUACUGUAAGUUUCCUUCCUCAUUUUGGGGGAUAAACAACUAAAAGAAAAAAAAAAACAAAGCACUUCCUUUUUGUGGACAUCUAUAGAUGUUAAGAUUGCCAGAAGCAAAUCCCAGGAAUAAGAUCAGUAUUUUCAUUGCAUCUUAAAUGUAAAACCUUCCUUUGGGAGUUCACUGUGUUCUGUGGUUAAGUGGGUGUGCUUAAUCAUUGUGGAAAUUCUGAUCAGUUGAAAUAAAAAAUCUUGAUGCAAUAACAGUGGUUUUGCCACUUCUGGUUGUUUGAGAUGGAUCUGUCCCAUGUCAGUCGGGGUCUUAGUGUGUGUUGCCACCGUUCACAGGUAAAGCAGAAAUUCUCUUUAAACCAGCAAAUUUCUGCUUUUUAUUUUUAGAAUAAAUCAUCAGGGAAAUGAGGAGAGGAUGCUUUUGCUUUGGGUUGCGGUCACGAACUGAUUAAUUUAGUGUCUCUGGCACACCUAAAAACCAUACAUUUCAGUUGUGAUCUCGGUGGCAUAUUUGUUUGCUUGGGUUUUAUUACAUUUGUUACUGCAGAUGUUCGGUUGAGCGAGUAGGUCAUUCCUGUGAUUUUUUUUUUUUUUUUUUUUUGGUAAUUUGAGCUUUUUACCUGCAGUGUUUGAGAACUCGGCAUUCUUGUUUUCUUCAAAUACUGAUUAAAAUAAAAUGCUAUAAAAUGUGUUGUGAAACAUUUUAAUUACCUUCCCAUGUCUUUGUUGUACUUGUGUCGAAAUGUUUUCACAUUCCUUUGGAAGAAAAUCUUUGCUUUCAUUUUGAUUAUGUUGCUUAUCUUGGAAUCAAAUAGGUUUUGAUAUUUUUCUCUUGGAAGGUUUUAUAUCUUUUUGGGAAUAUGUAAUAUAAGAUCUCUAAUAAAAGAUAAAUCUUA